AGUGAAUGGUCACAGAGCCAUGAGCAGGUGGAAGAUGCAGGUGGAGGCAUCUUCCCUGUCACCGUUGGUAUGUCUGGUUGAAACCUGCAACAAGGAAUCAGUCUUCAUGCAACUCUCAGCAACCUCUACUGAGAUCUCUGUUGAAGCAUUGUUUGCAAGAGCAGAUAAUCAGAAACCACCCAAAAAAUCAUAAAGAAGACAUUGGGCAAAUCAACAAUGGUAUGCUGAGAUUUGGAUUGCCAAAUUGACCUUGAAGUGAAGGAGGCAGAUUUGCUUGUAAUAACAAUGAAAGCGAUACAAGAUCUUCUAUUUGAAGUGCAGAAUGUCCCAUUCACCAUGAGACGCUGGUAAAUAAUGUUUUCAUUUUGUGCAGCAUGCCUCCAGUUGUGUAAAGAAUGUAAAAGGGAAAUGUCUCAAAACAGAAGAAGACGCCUGUGGGCAGCACCUUCUGCAGAGUGAUCCUGGGAGCUGGAAAGAAGACUCACUUUUCAUUUUACAACCUUGGGCACUGUAAGGAUAUUUUGGGCUUGCUGGAGACCCAGGAAAGUGAGUGCUGUAAUUCCAGCCUGAAUCCAAAGGCCUGACAACCAGGGAAUUUGACGCUAUAAGUCCCGGUCCAAGGGCAAGAGAAGAUGAGAUGCCCCAGCUCAACCAGGCAUGCAGGAAGCAAAAGGGAUGAAUCUUUCCCUCCUUCCUCUGCCUUUUUGUUCUAUUCAGCCCCUCGAUGGAUUGGAUGGUUUCCACCCACACUGGGAAGGGCCAUCUGCUUUACUAAGUUCCCCCACUUGAAUGCUAGUCUCAUCCAGAAACAUCUGCACAGAUACACCUGGAAAAAAUUGGUGAAUCAGAGCAUUAACCCGUUGGCCCAGUCAAGUUGACACAAAAUUAAACCAUCACAGAAACUAUCUCUUCUGAAUAAAUAUAUUUCUCCUUUCCAUGGACAA
RNAcentral lists this long non-coding RNA (944 nucleotides) under Homo sapiens (human). Its description in RNAcentral is "HSALNT0350317". The record is from RNAcentral. Lineage: Eukaryota; Metazoa; Chordata; Mammalia; Primates; Hominidae.